GACGAACGCUGGCGGCGUGCUUAACACAUGCAAGUCGAACGAUGAUGCCCAGCUUGCUGGGUGGAUUAGUGGCGAACGGGUGAGUAACACGUGAGUAACCUGCCCCUGACUCUGGGAUAAGCGUUGGAAACGACGUCUAAUACUGGAUAUGACUACUGGUCGCAUGGCCUGGUGGUGGAAAGAUUUUUUGGUUGGGGAUGGACUCGCGGCCUAUCAGCUUGUUGGUGAGGUAAUGGCUCACCAAGGCGACGACGGGUAGCCGGCCUGAGAGGGUGACCGGCCACACUGGGACUGAGACACGGCCCAGACUCCUACGGGAGGCUGCAGUGGGGAAUAUUGCACAAUGGGCGAAAGCCUGAUGCAGCAACGCCGCGUGAGGGAUGACGGCCUUCGGGUUGUAAACCUCUUUUAGUAGGGAAGAAGCGAAAGUGACGGUACCUGCAGAAAAAGCACCGGCUAACUACGUGCCAGCCGCCGCAGUAA
RNAcentral lists this ribosomal RNA (483 nucleotides) under uncultured bacterium. Its description in RNAcentral is "partial 16S ribosomal RNA". It matches the Rfam family "Bacterial small subunit ribosomal RNA", at positions 28 to 523 of the family's 1533-position model. The record is from RNAcentral.